This 490-nucleotide ribosomal RNA is filed under the name uncultured bacterium. Its description in RNAcentral is "partial 16S ribosomal RNA". It matches the Rfam family "Bacterial small subunit ribosomal RNA", at positions 29 to 507 of the family's 1533-position model. The record is from RNAcentral.
AAUGAACGCUGGCGGCAUGCCUUACACAUGCAAGUCGAACGGCAGCAUGACCUAGCUUUCUAGGUUGAUGUCGAGUGGCGCACGGGUGAGUAAUGCAUCUGAGCAUGCCUUUUAGUGGGGGAUAACGUAGCGAAAGUUACACUAAUACCGCAUAUUCUCUGAGGAGGAGAGCAGGGGACCUUCGGGCCUUUCGCUAGAAUAGCUGCCGAGGUCGGAGAAGCUAGUUGGUGAGGUAAAGGCUCACCAAGACGACGAGCCGUAGCGGGUCUGAGAGGAUGAUCGGCCACACUGGAACUGAGACACGGUCCAGACUCCUACGGGAGGCAGCAGUGGGGAAUUUUGGACAAUGGGCGCAAGCCUGAUCCAGCCAUGCCGCGUGAGUGAAGAAGGCCUUCGGGUUGUAAAGCUCUUUCGGCUGGGAAGAAAUCGAACACUUUAAUACAGGGUGGGGAUGACGGUACCAGAAUAAGAAGCACCGGCUAACUACGUG